GCCCCCUGGACGAAGACUGACGCUCAGGUGCGAAAGCGUGGGGAGCAAACAGGAUUAGAUACCCUGGUAGUCCACGCCGUAAACGAUGUCGACUUGGAGGUUGUGCCCUUGAGGCGUGGCUUCCGGAGCUAACGCGGUAAGUCGACCGCCUGGGGAGUACGGCCGCAAGGUUAAAACUCAAAUGAAUUGACGGGGGCCCGCACAAGCGGUGGAG
RNAcentral lists this ribosomal RNA (214 nucleotides) under Shigella flexneri. Its description in RNAcentral is "partial 16S ribosomal RNA". It matches the Rfam family "Bacterial small subunit ribosomal RNA", at positions 724 to 937 of the family's 1533-position model. The record is from RNAcentral. Lineage: Bacteria; Pseudomonadati; Pseudomonadota; Gammaproteobacteria; Enterobacterales; Enterobacteriaceae.